This 105-nucleotide non-coding RNA is filed under the name Bacillus manliponensis. RNAcentral's name for it is "SAM-I sequence". It matches the Rfam family "SAM riboswitch aptamer (S box leader)". From Rfam's summary of the family: The SAM riboswitch is found upstream of a number of genes which code for proteins involved in methionine or cysteine biosynthesis in Gram-positive bacteria. The SAM riboswitch acts at the level of transcription termination control. Lineage: Bacteria; Bacillati; Bacillota; Bacilli; Caryophanales; Bacillaceae. The record is from Rfam by way of RNAcentral.
GUCUUAUCAAGAAAAGGUGGAGGGACUAGGCCCUAUGAAACCUUGGCAACAGCCGCGAAACGGAACUGUGCCAAAUCCUACAGGUAACAUCCUGACAGAUAAGAA